Molecule: ribosomal RNA, 508 nt
Filed under: uncultured bacterium
Lineage: Bacteria
Description: partial 16S ribosomal RNA
Rfam family: Bacterial small subunit ribosomal RNA
Source: RNAcentral
GACGAACGCUGGCGGCGUGCCUAAUACAUGCAAGUCGAACGCUUCUUUCCUCCCGAGUGCUUGCACUCAAUUGGAAAGAGGAGUGGCGGACGGGUGAGUAACACGUGGGUAACCUACCCAUCAGAGGGGGAUAACACUUGGAAACAGGUGCUAAUACCGCAUAACAGUUUAUGCCGCAUGGCAUAAGAGUGAAAGGCGCUUUCGGGUGUCGCUGAUGGAUGGACCCGCGGUGCAUUAGCUAGUUGGUGAGGUAACGGCUCACCAAGGCGACGAUGCAUAGCCGGUCUGAGAGGGUGAUCGGCCACACUGGGACUGAGACACGGCCCAGACUCCUACGGGAGGCAGCAGUAGGGAAUCUUCGGCAAUGGGCGAAAGUCUGACCGAGCAACGCCGCGUGAGUGAAGAAGGUUUUCGGAUCGUAAAACUCUUUUGUUAGAGAAGAACAAGGACGUUAGUAACUGAACGUCCCCUGACGGUAUCUAACCAGAAAGACACGGCUAACUACGUG